This 775-nucleotide ribosomal RNA is filed under the name Cladonia sp. RNAcentral's name for it is "partial 28S ribosomal RNA". It matches the Rfam family "Eukaryotic large subunit ribosomal RNA", at positions 151 to 944 of the family's 3401-position model. The record is from RNAcentral. Lineage: Eukaryota; Fungi; Ascomycota; Lecanoromycetes; Lecanorales; Cladoniaceae.
UAGAGGAUGUUUCGGGUGCGGCGCGGGUCUAAGUCCUUUGGAACAGGGCGUCAUAGAGGGUGAGAAUCCCGUAUGUGACCCGUGAUCAAGCCCAUGUGAAACCCCUUCGACGAGUCGAGUUGUUUGGGAAUGCAGCUCAAAAUGGGUGGUAAAUUUCAUCUAAAGCUAAAUACCGGCCAGAGACCGAUAGCGCACAAGUAGAGUGAUCGAAAGAUGAAAAGCACUUUGGAAAGAGAGUCAAAAAGUACGUGAAAUUGUUGAAAGGGAAGCGCUUGCAACCAGACCUGUCCGCAGGCGAUCAACUCCCGUUCUCGGGGGUGCACUCGUCUGUGAUCAGGCCAGCAUCGGUUCGGGCGGUCGGAUAAAGGCCUUGGGAAUGUAGCUCCUUCCGGGGAGUGUUAUAGCCCUCGGUGCAAUGCGGCCAGCCCGGACCGAGGACCGCGCCUUCGGGCUAGGAUGCUGGCGUAAUGGUUGUAAGCGACCCGUCUUGAAACACGGACCAAGGAGUCUAACAUCUAUGCAAGUGUUUGGGUGUCAAACCCAUACGCGUAAUGAAAGUGAACGGAGGUGAGAACCCUUAAGGGCGCAUCAUCGACCGAUCCAGAUGUCUUCGGAUGGAUUUGAGUAUGAGCAUAGCUGUUGGGACCCGAAAGAUGGUGAACUAUGCCUGAAUAGGGUGAAGCCAGGGGAAACCCUGGUGGAGGCUCGCAGCGGUUCUGACGUGCAAAUCGAUCGUCAAAUUUGGGUAUAGGGGCGAAAGACUAAUCGAACCAUC